GACGAACGCUGGCGGCGUGCCUAACACAUGCAAGUGGAGCGACGAACCAGGCUUCGGCCUGGGGCAAAGCCGCGAACGGGUGAGUAACACGUGGGUAACCUGCCCUGAUGAUUGGGACAACCCGAGGAAACUCGGGCUAAUACCAAAUGUGCCCUUCGGCCACAAGGCCGCUGGGGAAAGGAAGCUUCGGCCUCCGCAUCUGGAUGGGCCCGCGGCCCAUUAGCUUGUUGGUGAGGAACGGCUCACCAAGGCGACGAUGGGUAGGCUGGUCUGAGAGGACGAUCAGCCACACUGGGACGUGAGACACGGCCCAGACUCCUACGGGAGGCAGCAGUGGGGAAGUCUUGCGCAAUGCGCGAAAGCGUGACGCAGCAACGCCGCGUGGGGGAAGACG
RNAcentral lists this ribosomal RNA (394 nucleotides) under uncultured bacterium. RNAcentral's name for it is "bacterial SSU rRNA". It matches the Rfam family "Bacterial small subunit ribosomal RNA", at positions 28 to 413 of the family's 1533-position model. The record is from RNAcentral.